Molecule: long non-coding RNA, 1464 nt
Organism: Hibiscus syriacus
Lineage: Eukaryota; Viridiplantae; Streptophyta; Magnoliopsida; Malvales; Malvaceae
Exons: 6
Source: RefSeq, a predicted model, not a curated record
CAGGAAAAAUGCAGAUUUCGUGAAAACCCUAACCGGCAAGACUAUACUCUCGAGUCGAGAGCACGACACAAUUGACAACGUCAAAGCCAAGAUCCAAGACAAAGAAGGCAUACCUCCGGACCAACAACGUCUCAUUUUCCGCCGGUAAACAGCUCGAAGAUGGUCGUACUUUGGCUGACUAUAUAUCCAGAAAGAAUCAACACUUCAUCUUGUUUUAAGGUUGAGAGGUGGAAUCAUUGAGCCUUCUUUGAUGGCUUUGGCUCGCAAGUAUACCAAAACAAAAUGAUUUGCCGCAAAUGUAUGCUCGUCUCCAUCCGAGCAGUGAACUGUAGGAAGAAGAAAUGGUCAGGCAAUCAGUUGAGGCCCAAUAAGAAGAUCAAGUAACUGUGACUGGUUGUCUUGAAUGAUCCAAAAUUUUCCAUUUACUUGUUUUUGUUUCUUGUUGAAAUUCAAUAUCUGUGUUUUUACAUGGAUAGUUGUGUGUUAAAGUGAGGUUCAAAUUUAUGGUUUGAUUGUUGCAUUCAUUUCGUUCGAAGAUGGAAGUAUGCGUUUUACACUUGUGGGUUGAGUUUGAACUUAGAAUCGAUGAUCAUCUAUUUUGGUAAUGAUUAAAUUGAUGGGAGUAUGUUAUAUAUUGGGUAAACUAAUACAAAUUGACCCCUCGGUAUGAUUGAUUUUUGUUACUGUUAAAAAAUUAAGUGUGUGUGAUCCUUUACAUUAUUGGUCCGUUCGGUUUUAAUCAGUAUUUCGGUAUGAUUUUUUGUUAUUGGUUUAAAAUCAAGUGUAGUUCAUCCUUUACAUUAUUCCGUUUCGGUUUUAGUCCUUAAGCCUUUAACUGAAGUAUGUGGUAAUUAAUUUUUUUUUUAAAUUCCGCCUUUUUCUUCUUCUUCCCGUAUGAUCAUCACUGGCUACCGAUUUCUUUGCCACGACAUGAAAGCUGGUGUGUAAUCAGCAAGUUGGGUAGCAAUAUCAGUCCAUGUCGGCGUAUGCCAACGGGUACAUCUGACUUGGAGUUGCUUUUACGAGGAUUCUUUUUGGCAACUUGCAGACUAAAGGGAAAACCAAAAACAAAACAUCAUUCAACCUCCCCACUCACAGAGACCCGAAGCCUCACUGUUUCAUCUCUUCAAAAAUCUCAUAGUAACUCAGUGGCUGAUAACGUAGUUAUUGAAGAGCCUCCAUGGAUGACCGCCCACUCAAGCUUGCCUCCAUACCCUCCACCGCCUGGGCCCACGCUUCCCCUCUCCUUCAAGUCGCCUGUACAGGUCUUAGCAGAGCUCAUUCUUGGGGACAAUUUCAAUCUUUUUGCUGCCAUGGCUACUUUAAGUUUUGAUACUUUCUUAGUUAUUAUGUCAAUGUCGUGUGAUUUUUUUCUCAUUUUUGAAGUGUGUUCGAAGUUAUCAUUAUCUUACUUAAGAUGAUACUGCAACUGAAGAUAGCAAGAAAAAUCUCAUUUUAUUUUGU